GACGAACGCUGGCGGCGUGCCUAAUACAUGCAAGUAGAACGCUGAAGAGAGGAGCUUGCUCUUCUUGGCUGAGUUGCGAACGGGUGAGUAACGCGUAGGUAACCUGCCUGGUAGCGGGGGAUAACUAUUGGAAACGAUAGCUAAUACCGCAUAAAAUGGAUUAUCGCAUGAUAAUCCAUUGAAAGGUGCAAAUGCAUCACUACCAGAUGGACCUGCGUUGUAUUAGCUAGUUGGUGGGGUAACGGCUCACCAAGGCGACGAUACAUAGCCGACCUGAGAGGGUGAUCGGCCACACUGGGACUGAGACACGGCCCAGACGCCUACGGGAGGCAGCAGUAGGGAAUCUUCGGCAAUGGACGGAAGUCUGACCGAGCAACGCCGCGGGAGUGAAGAAGGUUUUCGGAUCGUAAAGCUCUGUUGUAAGAGAAGAACGAGUGUGAGAGUGGAAAGUUCACACUGUGACGGUAUCUUACCAGAAAGGGACGGCUAACUACGUG
This 497-nucleotide ribosomal RNA is filed under the name uncultured bacterium. Its description in RNAcentral is "partial 16S ribosomal RNA". It matches the Rfam family "Bacterial small subunit ribosomal RNA", at positions 28 to 507 of the family's 1533-position model. The record is from RNAcentral.